UUAAGUUAUUAAGGGCGCACGGUGGAUGCCUUGGCACUAGAAGCCGAUGAAGGACGUUACUAACGACGAUAUGCUUUGGGGAGCUGUAAGUAAGCUUUGAUCCAGAGAUUUCCGAAUGGGGAAACCCAGCAUGAGUUAUGUCAUGUUAUCGAUAUGUGAAUACAUAGCAUAUCAGAAGGCACACCCGGAGAACUGAAACAUCUUAGUACCCGGAGGAAGAGAAAGAAAAUUCGAUUCCCUUAGUAGCGGCGAGCGAAACGGGAAGAGCCCAAACCAACAAGCUUGCUUGUUGGGGUUGUAGGACACUCUAUACGGAGUUACAAAGGACGACAUUAGACGAAUCAUCUGGAAAGAUGAAUCAAAGAAGGUAAUAAUCCUGUAGUCGAAAAUGUUGUCUCUCUUGAGUGGAUCCUGAGUACGACGGAGCACGUGAAAUUCCGUCGGAAUCUGGGAGGACCAUCUCCUAAGGCUAAAUACUCUCUAGUGACCGAUAGUGAACCAGUACCGUGAGGGAAAGGUGAAAAGCACCCCGGAAGGGGAGUGAAAUAGAACCUGAAACCGUGUGCUUACAAGUAGUCAGAGCCCGUUAAUGGGUGAUGGCGUGCCUUUUGUAGAAUGAACCGGCGAGUUACGAUUUGAUGCAAGGUUAAGCAGUAAAUGUGGAGCCGUAGCGAAAGCGAGUCUGAAUAGGGCGUUUAGUAUUUGGUCGUAGACCCGAAACCAGGUGAUCUACCCUUGGUCAGGUUGAAGUUCAGGUAACACUGAAAUGGAGGACCGAACCGACUUACGUUGAAAAGUGAGCGGAUGAACUGAGGGUAGCGGAGAAAUUCCAAUCGAACCUGGAGAUAGCUGGUUCUCUCCGAAAUAGCUUUAGGGCUAGCCUCAAGUGAUGAUUAUUGGAGGUAGAGCACUGUUUGGACGAGGGGCCCCUCUCGGGUUACCGAAUUCAGACAAACUCCGAAUGCCAAUUAAUUUAACUUGGGAGUCAGAACAUGGGUGAUAAGGUCCGUGUUCGAAAGGGAAACAGCCCAGACCACCAGCUAAGGUCCCAAAAUAUAUGUUAAGUGGAAAAGGAUGUGGCGUUGCCCAGACAACUAGGAUGUUGGCUUAGAAGCAGCCAUCAUUUAAAGAGUGCGUAAUAGCUCACUAGUCGAGUGACACUGCGCCGAAAAUGUACCGGGGCUAAACAUAUUACCGAAGCUGUGGAUUGUCCUUUGGACAAUGGUAGGAGAGCGUUCUAAGGGCGUUGAAGCAUGAUCGUAAGGACAUGUGGAGCGCUUAGAAGUGAGAAUGCCGGUGUGAGUAGCGAAAGACGGGUGAGAAUCCCGUCCACCGAUUGACUAAGGUUUCCAGAGGAAGGCUCGUCCGCUCUGGGUUAGUCGGGUCCUAAGCUGAGGCCGACAGGCGUAGGCGAUGGAUAACAGGUUGAUAUUCCUGUACCACCUAUAAUCGUUUUAAUCGAUGGGGGGACGCAGUAGGAUAGGCGAAGCGUGCGAUUGGAUUGCACGUCUAAGCAGUAAGGCUGAGUAUUAGGCAAAUCCGGUACUCGUUAAGGCUGAGCUGUGAUGGGGAGAAGACAUUGUGUCUUCGAGUCGUUGAUUUCACACUGCCGAGAAAAGCCUCUAGAUAGAAAAUAGGUGCCCGUACCGCAAACCGACACAGGUAGUCAAGAUGAGAAUUCUAAGGUGAGCGAGCGAACUCUCGUUAAGGAACUCGGCAAAAUGACCCCGUAACUUCGGGAGAAGGGGUGCUCUUUAGGGUUAACGCCCAGAAGAGCCGCAGUGAAUAGGCCCAAGCGACUGUUUAUCAAAAACACAGGUCUCUGCUAAACCGUAAGGUGAUGUAUAGGGGCUGACGCCUGCCCGGUGCUGGAAGGUUAAGAGAGUGGUUAGCUUCUGCGAAGCUACGAAUCGAAGCCCCAGUAAACGGCGGCCGUAACUAUAACGGUCCUAAGGUAGCGAAAUUCCUUGUCGGGUAAGUUCCGACCCGCACGAAAGGCGUAACGAUUUGGGCACUGUCUCAACGAGAGACUCGGUGAAAUCAUAGUACUGUGAAGAUGCAGGUUACCCGCGACAGGACGGAAAGACCCCGUGGAGCUUUACUGUAGCCUGAUAUUGAAAUUCGGCACAGCUUGUACAGGAUAGUAGGAGCCUUUGAAACGUGAGCGCUAGCUUACGUGGAGGCGCUGGUGGGAUACUACCCUAGCUGUGUUGGCUUUCUAACCCGCACCACUUAUCGUGGUGGGAGACAGUGUCAGGCGGGCAGUUUGACUGGGGCGGUCGCCUCCUAAAAGGUAACGGAGGCGCUCAAAGGUUCCCUCAGAAUGGUUGGAAAUCAUUCAUAGAGUGUAAAGGCAUAAGGGAGCUUGACUGCGAGACCUACAAGUCGAGCAGGGUCGAAAGACGGACUUAGUGAUCCGGUGGUUCCGCAUGGAAGGGCCAUCGCUCAACGGAUAAAAGCUACCCCGGGGAUAACAGGCUUAUCUCCCCAAGAGUUCACAUCGACGGGGAGGUUUGGCACCUCGAUGUCGGCUCAUCGCAUCCUGGGGCUGUAGUCGUCCCAAGGGUUGGGCUGUUCGCCCAUUAAAGCGGUACGCGAGCUGGGUUCAGAACGUCGUGAGACAGUUCGGUCCCUAUCCGUCGUGGGCGUAGGAAAUUUGAGAGGAGCUGUCCUUAGUACGAGAGGACCGGGAUGGACAUACCUCUGGUGUACCAGUUGUCGUGCCAACGGCAUAGCUGGGUAGCUAUGUGUGGACGGGAUAAGUGCUGAAAGCAUCUAAGCAUGAAGCCCCCCUCAAGAUGAGAUUUCCCAACUUCGGUUAUAAGAUCCCUCAAAGAUGAUGAGGUUAAUAGGUUCGAGGUGGAAGCAUGGUGACAUGUGGAGCUGACGAAUACUAAUCGAUCGAAGACUUAAUCAA
Molecule: ribosomal RNA, 2917 nt
Filed under: Staphylococcus aureus
Lineage: Bacteria; Bacillati; Bacillota; Bacilli; Caryophanales; Staphylococcaceae
Description: bacterial LSU rRNA
Rfam family: Bacterial large subunit ribosomal RNA
Source: RNAcentral